RNAcentral lists this unclassified non-coding RNA (263 nucleotides) under plant metagenome. RNAcentral's name for it is "partial contains small subunit ribosomal RNA, internal transcribed spacer 1, and 5.8S ribosomal RNA". The record is from RNAcentral.
UUUCCGUAGGUGAGCCUGCGGAAGGAUCAUUAUUGUAUAACCGAGGUGCGAGGGCUGUCGCUGACCCGAAAGGUCGUGCACGCCCGAGUGCCCUCACACACAUCCAUCUCACCCCUAUGUGCACCACCGCGUGGGUCCCCCUUUGGCUUGUUCGGAGGGGGGCUUACGCUUUCACACAAACUUUGUAUGCAGUGUAGAAUGUAUUUUUUGUUUUUGCGAUCACGCAAUCAAUACAACUUUCAACAACGGAUCUCUUGGCUCUC